RNAcentral lists this unclassified non-coding RNA (233 nucleotides) under Hevea brasiliensis (rubber tree). The record is from RNAcentral. Lineage: Eukaryota; Viridiplantae; Streptophyta; Magnoliopsida; Malpighiales; Euphorbiaceae.
GGCCCAGUGUUCCCUCACCGCCUCCAGCAUGGCGAUCAGCGCGAUCGCACCACCCAGCGCCGUAAAAAUAUGAACGCCGAAUGCGCGCAUGCGCAUUCUGGCGGGAAACGGGGGCUGGUCCNNCGGGCUCGCUCAUAUGCUCUCGUGACUAACAGGAUUCCCGGCAUUUUGCAUAUCCGGUAUCGCCUCCUCACUUUGUGACAAAGCGCGAACCGGAUUUGCCUUAAAUGCCC